UACGGGGGGGGCAAGCGUUGUUCGGAAUUACUGGGCGUAAAGGGCUCGUAGGUGGCCAACUAAGUCGGAUGUGAAAUCCCCAGGCUUAACCUGGGAACUGCAUCCGAUACUGGAUGGCUUGAAUCCGGGAGAGGGAUGCAGAAUUCCAGGUGUAGCGGUGAAAUGCGUAGAUAUCGGGAGGAACACCGGUGGCGAAGGCGGUUCUCUGGGCCUUACCUGACGCUGAGGAGCGAAAGCGUGGGGAGCGAACAGG
This 253-nucleotide ribosomal RNA is filed under the name uncultured bacterium. RNAcentral describes it as "partial 16S ribosomal RNA". It matches the Rfam family "Bacterial small subunit ribosomal RNA", at positions 524 to 776 of the family's 1533-position model. The record is from RNAcentral.